This 251-nucleotide ribosomal RNA is filed under the name Ligilactobacillus salivarius. RNAcentral's name for it is "Lactobacillus salivarius partial 23S ribosomal RNA". It matches the Rfam family "Bacterial large subunit ribosomal RNA", at positions 2676 to 2925 of the family's 2925-position model. Lineage: Bacteria; Bacillati; Bacillota; Bacilli; Lactobacillales; Lactobacillaceae. The record is from RNAcentral.
CCUUAGUACGAGAGGACCGGGAUGGACAUACCGCUGGUGUACCAGUUGUUCCGCCAGGAGCAUCGCUGGGUAGCUAAGUAUGGAUGAGAUAAACGCUGAAAGCAUCUAAGUGCGAAACUUACCUCGAGAUAAGAUUUCCCAUUACGUAAGUAAGUAAGAUCCCUGAAAGAUGAUCAGGUAGAUAGGAUGGAAGUGGAAGUGCUGCGAGGCAUGGAGCGGAUCAUUACUAAUCGAUCGAGGACUUAACCAAG